Molecule: small RNA, 1737 nt
Filed under: Rattus norvegicus (Norway rat)
Lineage: Eukaryota; Metazoa; Chordata; Mammalia; Rodentia; Muridae
Description: uncharacterized LOC102557516
Source: RNAcentral
CGGGUCCGUGAAAAAGACCAAUCGGAGGUGGAAGGUGGUGCGGGGACGGAGACGCUAGGACCUGGCGGCCGGCGCAGACGGAAGCCAUACCAAGGACCCUGCAGUCUCAAAUGAGAUUCUUGCACGGUUUCCUCUCACGGAGCAUCACUUCCUGUUCAGUCUCCUCCCGCUGAGACUCCUCCCUCUUGGGCCCCAGCAACCGUUCGGAGAAAGAGCUGGGGACCGAACCCAGGACCUUGAGCUUGCUAGGCAAGCGCUCUACCACUGAGCUAAAUCCCCAACCCCGAUAAUGCUUUAUUCUUAAAGACUUAUCAUUUCACUUUGUAUCAUUCUUCUUACAUUUAGCCAACUUUGAUUAACCAUCUUUUCUUUAUUUGGCAUCCAGAUGGUUUUGUAUCUGCUGCACUUUUUCCUUUCUCACGACACCAACAUCCAUCUCUACCCCUCGGUUUACUUCCAGGUGCUUCCACUCUCCGUUCUUCUCCCCUAUCCCUGCUUCCUUCUCAUUUUUCAUUCAUUUGCUGAGUAAAUGUACUCUAUAUUGAGUUUACUGGGGUGUUUUCCUACUAUAACAGAGUGUUUUCACCUCUCAGUGUUACUGGGAAUUGGGAUCUCAAGAAUAGACUAGUUACUGAGAAGAUCCUAAAUCAAACCUUAAGAGAUUAUCAACAUCAAUACCAGUAAAUGAAAACAGUAAGACAGCAUAAGGUACAAAGGGUCAUGACUCCUCCAUUCCUGAAUCCAAAGAAGCUAAGAUUAUUGAAUUCCUAAGAAUUCAGUGUCUGCAUCUAAAUGAAUCAAUGGCUUAAGGGUGAAACUAAUAGAGGGGUGGUGUGAACGAAUAACAGCAAGGGAGAAGAGAAGUCGGUGGUGUGGCUAAGAAAUUCAGCAAGAGGGUCAGAUGGAAGGACAGCAAUGUUGGAAGUGAAAACCAAGCAAAAGGAGUGGAAAGCGUCCUCAGUAGUCUAGAGGAAACAGCAGACAGAACCAAGGAUGAAAGGCCAGCCCAAGGAAACUCAACACCCAAACAUCAAAGCAAAAAAAUUAAACCAGUAUGGCCACACAGUCUAAACACUCUAGGGUAUGACCAAACAGCCAAACCUAAGAAUCCACAGGCUAGAACAAAAGAGGGAGAGAGAGCAGAAAUAAACAAUGAAGACGUAGAAAAUGUAUUCAGUGAAAUUACAGCAGAAAAUUCCCAAAACUCUAGGGAAAGAAACAGAUAUCCAAACCCAAGAAAUAUUUAUCCCAAAGAGACAGAGCUAGAGAGGAAUGUCUCCAUGACACAUCACAGUCAAGAUGCUGAAACCACAGAAUAACCAGAUCAGAUGAAACAGAGGAAGACGUCAAACUCACUCCACAAGCAGCAGAGCAGCGCUCGGAUCACCAGCGGGAAGCCCGACAGCACGGGACGGUGUUUCAGGCCCUGAAAUUGAAUGACUGCCAACCAAGAUCCAGCAAGGUCAAUGUUAAAACUGGCAGACUAAACAGGAAAAGACAUAAAUCGUGUCGUAUAGAGCGUCGCAUCUUGAGUAGUAGUAUGUUAUCCGCUAAUCACAAUAUCCAAGCAAAGCCUGUUCCUGCGUCAUGCACCUCACCCACAACUCCAGCUGUUUCAGAGGCUGAGGCCAAAUUUGAAGAAACACAGUUUAAAGUCAACCUGAGUGUGAUGGUUUGUAUAUGUGCAGGCCAGGGAGUGGCAUAAUUAGAAGGUGUGACCCUGUUGGGGUAGGUGUG